UACAGAGGUCUCAGGCGUUGUUCGGAUUCAUUGGGCGUAAAGGGUGCGUAGGCGGCGCGCUAAGUCAGGCGUGAAAUUUCGGAGCUUAACUCCGAAACUGCAUUUGAUACUGGCGUGCUUGAGGACUGGAGAGGAGACUGGAAUUCACGGUGUAGCAGUGAAAUGCGUAGAUAUCGUGAGGAAGACCAGUGGCGAAGGCGGGUCUCUGGACAGUUCCUGACACUGAGGCACGAAGGCCAGGGGAGCAAACGGG
RNAcentral lists this ribosomal RNA (253 nucleotides) under uncultured bacterium. Its description in RNAcentral is "partial 16S ribosomal RNA". It matches the Rfam family "Bacterial small subunit ribosomal RNA", at positions 524 to 776 of the family's 1533-position model. The record is from RNAcentral.